CCCUACGGGACGCAGCAGUGGGGAAUAUUGCACAAUGGGGGAAACCCUGAUGCAGCGACGCCGCGUGAGUGAAGAAGUAAUUCGUUAUGUAAAGCUCUAUCAGCAGGGAAGAAAAUGACGGUACCUGAGUAAGAAGCCCCGGCUAACUACGUGCCAGCAGCCGCGGUAAUACGUAGGGGGCAAGCGUUAUCCGGAUUUACUGGGUGUAAAGGGAGCGUAGACGGCUGUGCAAGUCUGGAGUGAAAGGCGGGGGCCCAACCCCCGGACUGCUCUGGGAACUGUAUGGCUGGAGCGCAGGGGAGGUA
This 305-nucleotide ribosomal RNA is filed under the name uncultured bacterium. RNAcentral's name for it is "bacterial SSU rRNA". It matches the Rfam family "Bacterial small subunit ribosomal RNA", at positions 337 to 659 of the family's 1533-position model. The record is from RNAcentral.